UUUUGCCAUUUUAUAAUAGUUAAAAAUAUAACAAGUUUUUAAAAUAAAGUCAUAAAAGAGGGCACUACCAUGUCUUGCCGGGGAAAGUUAAGCAACUUGUUGUUGGAUUGUUUGAAUGUGUUAUGUUUAGAAACUAUGCUAAUUCGUUAUUUUCUAUUCUCUUUCAGUUUAGUACAGUGAUGAUAUUCCUUCUGUUGCUGGGUGCUGCUGCUGCACUUGUGAUUUGGAUAGGCUUACAUAAUACAACGGUGAGAGGACAUCUAGAAAGAGAAAUGUUUCAAAAGCUGCAAAAUACAGAUUUUUUUACUUUCGUA
Long non-coding RNA from Centruroides sculpturatus (bark scorpion), 314 nucleotides. RefSeq lists it as uncharacterized. Lineage: Eukaryota; Metazoa; Arthropoda; Arachnida; Scorpiones; Buthidae. The transcript has 2 exons. The record is from RefSeq and is a predicted model, not a curated record.